Molecule: long non-coding RNA, 1151 nt
Organism: Astatotilapia calliptera (eastern happy)
Lineage: Eukaryota; Metazoa; Chordata; Actinopteri; Cichliformes; Cichlidae
Source: Ensembl
AUCUAAAGCGGAACUCUGAACAAGUGCAACAGCUACUGGGAGAGAAGCAAAGAGGCGCUGAGAGGAGGAAAAGGAAAGCAUCAGGCACAAACAGACAGUGAGGGAGAGAAAGCGAGGAAGGAAAGGUUCCUUUUGGUUUAUCCUUUCUCAGGGACAUGGAAAAGCAAAAAGGUGGUAAACCUGUAAUUCUGGUGGUGAUGCAUCACACCUCCAAUCUUGAGCAUGUUGUAGCUGAAAGCUGGAGACAGGUGAAGAACGAGAAUGUCCACCUCACUGUGGAUUGUCUGGUUUAUAAGGGAAAACUGCUUGAUUGCAGCUUCAAUGAUAUCAUGUGGUGUAACAUUGGGAAGUUUUUCAGAGUUUCCAUUCACCAGCUCAUUCAGACUUCUAAGUGGCGAAAAUGCAGUUGUUACACUGACCCUCUGAUACUGGGUGUAGGUUUUAUAAUGUGUAUUAUGAUAGUGGCAACUGUGACUAUGGAAGUAGUGCGAAGGAUGAUUUAGAUGUUACUGAGCUGAAUGUUUUUUUUUUAUUAUCUGGAUCAUAAAAAAAGGAAAAUGAUAUAAUGAUAAGAGAUCUGCAACCUUAUGCACAGGGCUACAUGUUCAUUGAAAAAAUGUGUUGUGAGUUUGACAGUGAGAUCUGAGAUGCUAAAAUGUUCUAAAAGAAUAACUUGCUGCUCUUGUCCAAUACUUGUGUGAAAGAAAUCCUCUCUGAAGAGAUGGUCGUGUAAAGUUUGUAUCCAAUGUUUCAGCCAAAGGUGCUAUGAGAUUAAAGUUUUUUAAAGUUCAACAUGUGGCUAUAUUUCCGGUUCACAGUCUCUUUUUGCUUCUUCUUAAGCAAAGCAUUUCCCCUGUGUAUGGCUGUAUGAUAUAAUGUUCUGGUUAAGAUUUAGGUUUUAGUUGAACAGAUUAGUAAGUUUUAAAUAACAGCUCAGAAAGUAAGGAUGCUGUUUUGUGCAAUUUUAUUAAUUAUAUUUAAAUUAUCUGUGAUGAAUACAAAUCAAUUGUAUAUAGUAUUUUAUUUUAUUGUGUACAGUAUCUUAUUCUUAUUCUUAUCAUCUUAUCUUAUUUCAGUGUUUUGUUUUGUUUUCAAAUUUUUGCUAUGUAACUUUACACUGUCCACUUUCUGCUGUAACAAAUCAAAUUGCC